RNAcentral lists this ribosomal RNA (411 nucleotides) under uncultured bacterium. RNAcentral describes it as "bacterial SSU rRNA". It matches the Rfam family "Bacterial small subunit ribosomal RNA", at positions 28 to 426 of the family's 1533-position model. The record is from RNAcentral.
GAUGAACGCUAGCGACAGGCUUAACACAUGCAAGUCGAGGGGCAGCGGGGCUGAAAGCUUGCUUUCAGCUGCCGGCGACCGGCGCACGGGUGAGUAACACGUAUGCAACCUGGCCGUGACAGAUGAAUAACCGGGAGAAAUUCCGCCUAAUACAGCAUAACACCACUGGAUGACAUCCUCCGGUGGUCAAAGGAGGCGACUCCGGUCACGGAUGGGCAUGCGGCGCAUUAGGUAGUUGGUGAGGCAACGGCUCACCAAGCCGACGAUGCGUAGGGUUCUGAGAGGAAGGUCCCCCANAUUGGAACUGAGACACGGUCCAAACUCCUACGGGAGCAGCAGUGAGGAAUAUUGGUCAAUGGCCGAAGGCUGAACCAGCCAAGUCGCGUGAGGGAAUAAGGCCCUACGGGUCGU